Molecule: ribosomal RNA, 249 nt
Filed under: uncultured bacterium
Lineage: Bacteria
Description: partial 16S ribosomal RNA
Rfam family: Bacterial small subunit ribosomal RNA
Source: RNAcentral
UACGGAGGGUGCAAGCGUUAUCCGGAUUCACUGGGUUUAAAGGGUGCGUAGGCGGGUAAGUAAGUCCGUGGUGAAAUCUCUGAGCUUAACUCAGAAACUGCCGUGGAUACUAUUUGCCUUGAAUAUUGUGGAGGUGAGCGGAAUAUGUCAUGUAGCGGUGAAAUGCUUAGAUAUGACAUAGAACACCAAUUGCGAAGGCAGCUCACUACACAAUCAUUGACGCUGAGGCACGAAAGCGUGGGGGGAGUC